GUUAGAACUCCCUUUUAACGAGCUUACGUUUUCAAUAACAAUAGAUCCAAGAAAGAAUAGGCCCGUGACUCAAUCAUGGGUGAGAGAUCAUAACAUUAGCUUUCUCCAUUUCCUCAUGGAAUACACUUCAACUAUCCUCACAAAUCAAUCGUGUGCUUCUAAGCAUCAAUUGACUUCAUUCCUUUGAAAUGUACUCUAUCAAUAACUUUCUGAAAAAUACAUAUACAUCUACUGUUUGGAACAACUCAUUUGAAGAUAGUUCGUCAAUGAAUUUACCCCUUAGUUGCUGUUAAUGGUGCCCUUCAGUUGUGCAACCAUAAUACUGAGAUUUUUAAAAUAAGAAAUACCAAAGGGGCAAGAAAAAAAUAGAAAUUAUCUUAAACCAAUUAGAAAUUUUCACGUUACUGCAAAGUAUUUUACAUUAGUUGAGAAAACUAUUGUCUUAGGUUGGAUACACACCGACAUCUGCAAGAUGUACUUUAUCUCUCACAAUAGAAAUUUCAUCACUUGUUUCUUUUCUUAAACAAUCUUGAAAAUAAAUGGAAGACAAUCUUUCAUCACUUUUACCGAUGACUACUCUAAGUAUAUCCCUUGAGAAACAAGAUGGCUAUGGAACAAUUUAGUGCAUACAAAGAAGAAGCCCAAAUGGAAGUGAAAUUUGAGCAUCCAGAUCAUUAAUUCAGAAAAGGGAGGAAAAUAGACCGACACAGAUUUUUCCAGCAUUGUCAUACUCAGUAAAGUGGAGAGAUAGAAUAAAGAAACAGAACUCUGAUUGGAAUUUUGAAUUCUGUGCCAAGUGCCACUAGUUAAGGCCUUACCUGAAUUUUUCUAGGUAAUCACUUCUUAUAUCUAUUUGUCACAUUGGAUUUCCAUAAGAAAGUGAGCUCUCCUCCUCUCAAGUUAUCAAAAAGAUAUAAAACAAAAAUCAUUUUAUUGCAGAUUUUGGAGCAGCUUAUCUCCAAUUCAACUAGCAGAUGAACAGACUCAAAGGUCACAAAUUUUGGGUAAUCACCAACCAGAAAAGCAUACAGAUUUAGACUUGUGUUCCUGCCCCAUAUAGGCUUAUGGAACCCAUUGAAGUAAAACUUUUCAAGGAAUACCCUAAAUCAUCUAAAUCUCAAUAUCAACAUAUGCAUAUCUCAGCUUAGUCCUUCAAGUAGAUGAGGGAUGCGAGGAGGAUGUUAGUCAUAGGUUUAAAACCGGAUGGUUGAAAUAGAGAUGUGCCAUGAA
Molecule: unclassified non-coding RNA, 1230 nt
Filed under: Hevea brasiliensis (rubber tree)
Lineage: Eukaryota; Viridiplantae; Streptophyta; Magnoliopsida; Malpighiales; Euphorbiaceae
Source: RNAcentral